This 1516-nucleotide long non-coding RNA is filed under the name Phoenix dactylifera (date palm). RNAcentral describes it as "long non-coding RNA (PDAC_LNC014495)". Lineage: Eukaryota; Viridiplantae; Streptophyta; Magnoliopsida; Arecales; Arecaceae. The record is from RNAcentral.
UCUAUCAUAUGAAAAUAGUAGAGAAUGAUGCUAUGGGAAAGAAACGGACCAUGCUCUUCUUGAUGAUAGUUCUGUGUUCAUGACCUAUGUGGUUCAGAAUAUAGACCCUUUUUUCUUUUAUUUUUAAGUUGCUCUAGACCCCCCCCCUCCGCCACACACACACACACACACACACACACACCAAAAAAAAAGGAAAAAAAAAUCACCUACCUGUCUGCUUAGUUUCAUCAAAUUCAUGAAAUAGUAGUAUGGUAUGGAAACCAACUUACAUAUGAGUUGGGCCUAGUGGAAUGAUAUCUAGAAUUCAUACAGAUCUUUCAAAAUAAAAAUUGAUGACACAACUUAUAGAAUCGGUUGUCAUACAGGCUGUUAUGUCUUGGACCUCACAUGUUAUCUUUCAGCAAUUUGAAGUACUAAUAAAUCUUUCAGAGAGAAAAGAUGCACAUUCUGAAUCAGAAUAUAUAUAAUUUUAAAUAACAUAGAGAUAUUAAAUAAUGAACAGUGUGAAAUUGGAAUCUGUAUAUUAUUAAACAGGCAGUGAUUUUAUAGAUGUGAAAACUAUUUCACAAAUGAUAAUCCCGAGUUCUUGACCUGUGUGGUCAGGAAUGUAACUUUUUUUUGGAAAUAAGAACUGUACUGGAUGCCAAAGAAAAACCCAUUGUUGUUUGAAGAUAAAAGUUCUGUUUAAGAAGAGUCAUACUUAUUGGAACAAAGGAUGUCUCCCAUUUUAAAGGUAUGAGUCUUCUUUGCUAGAAGGACUUUAAUUUUCUAAAAUAGGGUUGUUGACCACAAAGUUGAGCUUGGCACCAUGAUCGGUAAAAUACGCUUCGCAUCUAUACCAUUCAUUGUCCAAUUUUUACUUUUUUUUUUUUGCAACAGGCAGUUAUUUCUUACUGGAACAUUUAUUAGUUCUUUGAAGUGUUGAAACCUACCCCACAAGAUCUGAGCAUUAGCUAGCUCAUAUGAUGAUCAAAUAUUUAUAAUAAUUAAACAAAUUCUGUCCUCAAUUUCUAUUCUGGGUAAUUUGGAUGCUUAUACUGAAUGAUGCUCUUUCAGCGUUUCUAUGACGUGUAACACUAGAAAAAGGACUUACAAAGGGGAAAAGAGCUUUUUUUUUUUAUAUUCAAAAACAAUCUGCAAGGUAAUAUUAGAUGCCAUUGCCACUGUACCAUCUAAUGUGUAGUCUUCCAUAGCUUGAAAGUCAUAAGGGAGGGAAAAAAAUUCAAUGACAUGAAUCAGUGGAAUUUAACAGAAUAGCAAGUAGGAUUUCUUUUUUGGAAAGUAGGAAUUCUUUUUGGAAAGGUCUUUGAUUUUUUUAUCUUCUAAAAUAGAAUUAAAUUUUCAAUCACAUAGGUCAGUAGAUGCUUGAAAUACUUUGAGAUCCGAUUAGUUUGGUAGAUUUGAAUUUCUUGUAAAAGAUGUCCUGUUCCUUCUCACACCGAAAAUUUUAGGUCUGUUUUAAGUCUCCACCUACCCAUGACUGCCAUCAAUGACUACAAGUCCUUUUAGUUACUCC